GUACCAUGAAGUUUUAUACUGAGCGGUUGGAAUGGCCUAAGAAGGAUAAGCGUCGGUUACUCCAUGCAGUGUAUCGUGUGGGUGAUCUUGACCGUA
Long non-coding RNA from Juglans regia (Persian walnut), 96 nucleotides. RefSeq lists it as uncharacterized. The record is from RefSeq and is a predicted model, not a curated record. The transcript is spliced from 4 exons. Lineage: Eukaryota; Viridiplantae; Streptophyta; Magnoliopsida; Fagales; Juglandaceae.